RNAcentral lists this ribosomal RNA (373 nucleotides) under uncultured soil bacterium. Its description in RNAcentral is "bacterial SSU rRNA". It matches the Rfam family "Bacterial small subunit ribosomal RNA", at positions 26 to 402 of the family's 1533-position model. The record is from RNAcentral.
AGGAUGAACGCUGGCGGCGUGCCUAAUACAUGCAAGUCGAGCGGUAAGGCCCCUUCGGGGGUACACGAGCGGCGGACGGCUGAGUAACACGUAGGAACGUACCCCAAAGUGAGGGAUAAGCACCAGAAAUGGUGUCUAAUACCGCAUGUAGCCUUCGGGCUAAAGCUUUAUGCGCUUUGGGAGCGGCCUGCGCAUGAUUAGCUUGUUGGUGAGGUAAUAGCUCACCAAGGCGAUGAUCAUUAGCUGGUCUGAGAGGAUGAUCAGCCAGACGUGGGACUGAGACACGGCCCAGACCUCCGUACGGGAGGCAGCGAGGUAGGGUAACUUUCCGAACAAGUCGGGACGAAAGCCUAGAGUGGAGCGAACGCCGCGU